GAUCAUGGCUCAGGAUGAACGCUGGCGGCGUGCAUAACACAUUCAAGUCGAGCGAAGCACGUUUGGGACGAUCCCUUCGGGGUGAAGCCUGAUUUGACUUAGUGGCGGACGGGUGAGUAACGCGUGAGCAACCUGCCUUUCAUUGCGGGAUAACGGCCGGAAACAGCCGCUAAUACCGCAUAAUGUAGUGAGAUCGCAUGGUUUUACUACCAAAGAUUUAUUGAUGAAAGAUGGGCUCGCGUCUGAUUAGAUAGUUGGUGAGGUAACGGCUCACCAAGUCGACGAUCAGUAGCCGGACUGAGAGGUUGAACGGCCACAUUGGAACUGAGAUACGGUCCAGACUCCUACGGGAGGCAGCAGUGGGGAAUAUUGGGCAAUGGGCGAAAGCCUGACCCAGCGACGCCGCGUGCGGGAAGAAGGCCUUUGGGUUGUAAACCGCUGUAGACAAGGACGAAACAAAUGACGGUACUUGUAAAGUAAGCCACGGCUAACUACGUG
This 498-nucleotide ribosomal RNA is filed under the name uncultured bacterium. Its description in RNAcentral is "bacterial SSU rRNA". It matches the Rfam family "Bacterial small subunit ribosomal RNA", at positions 15 to 507 of the family's 1533-position model. The record is from RNAcentral.